GGGGUUGUGGCUCAGUGGUAGAGUGCUCGCCUAGCACGUGUGAGGCACUAGGUUCGAGCCUCAGCACCA
RNAcentral lists this transfer RNA (69 nucleotides) under Marmota monax (woodchuck). It matches the Rfam family "tRNA". Rfam says of the family: Transfer RNA (tRNA) molecules are approximately 80 nucleotides in length. The record is from Rfam by way of RNAcentral. Lineage: Eukaryota; Metazoa; Chordata; Mammalia; Rodentia; Sciuridae.